UAUGACAUUAAAAAAAGCCCCCAAAAUAUUGGGUUGAUUAGGUUGAGUUUUAUUUACUCGAUUACUCUUUUACUUGUUUCAGUCAUUUGACUGCGGCCAUGCUGGAGCACCGCCUUUAGUCGAGCAAAUCGACCCCGGGACUUAUUCUCUUUUGUAAGCCCAGUACUUAUUCUAUCGGUCAAUUACUUAUUCUAUUUGUAAAAUAUAGUUUUGAAUUUGAUGCAGAAAGUGGAUCUAUUUUUGUGGUGGUGAUGGGAUGGGUAGGGUGGGUGGCUAGGAGUAUGGUUGGGUGCCAAGGGGGUGGCAACCUAAAAAAGUGCGGGUACCACUGGUCUAAAUAAAAUGAAAAGAAAAUUUUUUUAGAAAGAUGAAAGAAAUGUUAAAUUUUCAUCCAUUUGCUAGCAAUUUGCAGCAAGUGGAUGACUAUAAAGCCAUAGUGCUGUUGCUCCACCCUGGUGGCCUGGUGUGGUUACAAAAACCAUCAAGGUAGCAAGCUGGCAAAAUCAUUCCAACCCCAAGCAAAAUGCUUAACAGCAUUUUGUCUGUGUUUAUAUUUGUGUGGAGGCCUGUAGCUUAGUGGUUAGGGUGUUGCACUCGUGAUUGUAAGAUUGUGGUUUCAAUUCCUGGACCAGGCAACAUGUUGUGUUCUUCAGCAAAACACUUCAUGUUGUCCCAGUCCACUCAGCUGGCGAAAAUGAGUUGCCUUGCAACAGACCAGUGUCCCGUCCAGCUGGGGAAUGUAUAUGCCAUGAAAUUAGGAAACCGGACCUUGUGAGUCAGUGUGACUUGAAAUGGUAACUUUAUCUUUUGUUACAGAAGCCGUCACAGCCAGGAACAUGAGCUUCACAUCCUGUACGGCAUUUCUCUACCAAAAUACAAACAACAAUACCAUUGAUCUGAAACUGAAAUAUAAUACUCCCAUAACAUAGUAUAUUUAUGAUUAACUAGCAGUAUCGCCCGGCGUUGCUCGGGUUUGUUUCGACCCUUUAGAAUUGAAAUUUUUGGAAAGUAAAAAUUUUGCAUUAUGUAGCUUGUUAUUCUCUUUAAGUGAAUGUUUUUCUGGUUGAAAUACAUGGAAAAAUGGUGACACAGCAGUAAAAAAAAUCGUAAAAAAUAGGGAUUUUCAUAGAAAAAAAACACCUUUUUGAUAUAAAUAAUUUUUGGUGUUAACAUGGUCUGAUAUGAAUUUUUUCUUCUACGGAAUGAAGAGCAAGCCUUCUAUCAUACUCUCAAUUUUGGUCAUCUUGCACCGGAGGAGAUAGUGUUAGUUGAAGGCUACCAAACCUGCCAUACACAGACAACUUCAGCUUUAUAUAUAGAGAGAUUUAGGGUUUCAUACUUCAUUCCAGUAUGCUAUCAUAAUAUAUUUAGAUGCAUAGAAUCAUGCAUUUUCCUCUACAAAACCACUUUAAAAUAUAUUUCAGUAAAUGUAAAGCCAAACAUACUAAAUUUCUUUGUUUUUCCACAAAAUCUCCUCGAAAAUAGAAAGCAUUUUCUAUGCUAAAAUGCACAUAUAUGUACGUACAUACAUAUGUAACCUUUGUGUAGUACUUAAAAUGUACUAAUUCUCUACUUAAGUUUCAUGGUUAAGCUACAGUUUGAAUUCUCACAAAGCACAAAUAUGCCUCAAGCAAAACUAAAAUGGCAAGAAGAAGGAAUAGGAAAGAAUAUGAUGAAAGGCCACAACUCGUUUUUAUUAGUCAAGUUUUGCUCCUUGGGUUAGCUAUUUUCAAGAGAAAUAUAAUCAGAAAAGGUUGGAAAGGGCCAUUGUUAGACAAUUAGAUUUGUAUCAGAAAAUGUUUGUAUUAAAGUUGUGGUAAAUUGUGAAAGUGUAUGAGAGGGGAAGUUGUGGUGGUCAGUGUGGAAGGGAUUUUGUUUUGUUGUCAGUGAUGUUUGAAGGUAGUAUCUUGUUUGUGCAGGUUGUCUGUGUGUGUUGUGUUUGUCUGUGUAAUAUGGUGCUCUGUGAAGCUUUAUCUAAAGAGAUAUUUGAAGUGUCAAGUGUAUUAAAUAACAAAUAUCUUGUGAUAUAUAUAUAUAUAAAGUUGUGUUGCAGGUGUUCAUCUGUAUUGUGUGCACUCCAAUGAGUUAAUAUGAAUUUAUCAGUGUGUGGGCACCUAAUAAAAAAUUCGGUCCUGUUAUUC
Molecule: long non-coding RNA, 2141 nt
Filed under: Octopus vulgaris (common octopus)
Lineage: Eukaryota; Metazoa; Mollusca; Cephalopoda; Octopoda; Octopodidae
Source: RNAcentral